CCUACGGGUGGCAGCAGUAAGGAAUAUUGGUCAAUGGGAGAGAUCCUGAACGAGCCAAGCCGCGUGAGGGAAGACGGCCCUAUGGGUUGUAAACCUCGUUUGUCGGAGAACAAAACCCGGGACGUGUCCCGGACUGCGUGUAUCCGAACAAAAAGCAUCGGCUAACGCCGGGCCAGCAGCGGAGGUAAUACGGAGGAUGCGAGCGUUGUCCGGAUUGAUUGGGUUUAAAGGGAGCGUAGGCCGCAUGUCAAGCGUGCUGUGAAAUGUCCGGGCUCAACCCGGGCCGGGCAGGGCGAACUGGCGUGCUUGAGUCCGCGGAAAGCAGGCGGAAUUCGUCGUGUAGCGGUGAAAUGCUUAGAUAUGACGAAGAACCCCGAUUGCGAAGGCAGCUUGCUGCAGCGGAACUGACGCUGAUGCUCGAAAGCGCGGGGAUCGAACAGGAUUAGAUACCCGUGUAGUC
RNAcentral lists this ribosomal RNA (460 nucleotides) under uncultured bacterium. RNAcentral describes it as "partial 16S ribosomal RNA". It matches the Rfam family "Bacterial small subunit ribosomal RNA", at positions 338 to 795 of the family's 1533-position model. The record is from RNAcentral.